AGCGAACGCUGGCGGCAGGCCUAACACAUGCAAGUCGAACGAGCUCUUCGGAGUUAGUGGCGGACGGGUGAGUAACACGUGGGAACGUGCCUCUAGGUACGGAAUAACUCAGGGAAACUUGUUCUAAUACCGAAUGUGCCCUUCGGGGGAAAGAUUUAUUGCCUUUAGAGCGGCCCGCGUCUGAUUAGCUAGUUGGUGAGGUAACGGCUCACCAAGGCGACGAUCAGUAGCUGGUCUGAGAGGAUGGCCAGCCACACUGGGACUGAGACACGGCCCAGACUCCUACGGGAGGCAGCAGUGGGGAAUCUUGCGCAAUGGGCGAAAGCCUGACGCAGCCAUGCCGCGUGAAUGAUGAAGGUCUUAGGAUUGUAAAAUUCUUUCACCGGGGACGAUAAUGACGGUACCCGGAGAAGAAGCCCCGGCUAACUUCGUGCCAGCAGCCGCCGUAA
Molecule: ribosomal RNA, 449 nt
Filed under: uncultured bacterium
Lineage: Bacteria
Description: partial 16S ribosomal RNA
Rfam family: Bacterial small subunit ribosomal RNA
Source: RNAcentral